Molecule: long non-coding RNA, 228 nt
Filed under: Elaeis guineensis (African oil palm)
Lineage: Eukaryota; Viridiplantae; Streptophyta; Magnoliopsida; Arecales; Arecaceae
Description: long non-coding RNA (EGUI_LNC015986)
Source: RNAcentral
GAAUGUCGGAGAGUCGAUCUAAAUCUACUUUCAGAAGUCUGACAGUAAGCUCAAAUUUGGAUAGCUGCAUAUCGACAAAGGAUAGUCCGGUAUUAUAAUGCAAGAGUCAAAUCGAAGAUCUUCCGGUUAGGAGACUUGAUCCUAAGGAAAGCAGAAAUCUCAAAUCUCUGGAUCAAAAAAAGCUAUCUCCGAAUUGGAAAGGACCUUACAGGAUAGCCAAAACACUCA